AUGCCGAUACCCACCCUGGAGACUCUUCGCAUCAGGCAGCGUGGCCAUUCUCCUCGGCUGUCGCCUCGUGCUACUUCAUGCGACAUCAUCGAGCUCAGGCCUUCACCUCACAGCGACUGGGAUGUUGCACCUACUUCCCCUACAGCGAGUGCCCAGUCUCCCCGUGCUCCAUCCCCAUGCUCUGAGCCUGAGCCGGUCACCUCGGUCUUCGUCCCGGCUGUUGGCAAUGUGGUGGCGCCGCCGUGCUCUCCUCUAUUUGUUGUUUGCCUGCCACCGCUACUUGCCGCACCAAGAUCACCCUCUCCAAGGCCAAGGCCACCGACGAAGAGAAGAAAGACGUUGGCUGGGGUGGUAGGCUUCGACCUGGGCCGUCGGAGCCCUCGUCUUCGUGCCAAGAACAGGUCCAUGCCCAUUGCUAAGCUCGCUGAGAGGCUGCUCUGCCUGAGAAUGGGCAUCGUGGGCGAUGGGGAAGAGGUCACGGAGAAAGCGAUCGAUCGCUUUGUGGCAAUGUUCAAGGGCCAACUCUCUGACUUGGCGAUCGCAGGACUACGCGCUCUCUUCAAGCUGGAUUGUGACCUUGCGAUGGCGGUGGAGGACGCGCUGUUGCAGCAUGGUGGAGAGGGUGGCUCCGAGAUGCCAACUCUGACAAGCGAAGACGCCGCUGUUUAG
Molecule: ribosomal RNA, 669 nt
Filed under: Triticum aestivum (bread wheat)
Lineage: Eukaryota; Viridiplantae; Streptophyta; Magnoliopsida; Poales; Poaceae
Description: partial small subunit ribosomal RNA
Source: RNAcentral